GCCUGAGAUUAGCUGAGUUGGUCAGAGCAUGGUACUAAGAAUGCCAAGGUCACAGGUUCAGUUCCUGUACGGGCC
Molecule: non-coding RNA, 75 nt
Organism: Lamprotornis superbus
Lineage: Eukaryota; Metazoa; Chordata; Aves; Passeriformes; Sturnidae
Source: the annotation of a GenBank genome assembly